Non-coding RNA from Pelobates cultripes (western spadefoot toad), 239 nucleotides. Lineage: Eukaryota; Metazoa; Chordata; Amphibia; Anura; Pelobatidae. The record is from the annotation of a GenBank genome assembly.
GCUGGGGGGAAAGGCUAAGUCCCCAAGAGUGCAUCCAGGUACGGCAACUUCUAGCCACAAAGGGAGCAACGUUCUUAAACAUACCUGGAUACACUCUGCUGGCUACGCACCGAGCAGUCACCACCGAACAGCCACCCCUAAGACAGACUCCCUACAGAAUCCCUGAGGCUGUCAUGGAACACAUGAGACAGGAGAUACAGGAGAUGCUCGGUCUCUGGGUCAUAGAAGCGUCUGAUAGU